GUUAAAAUGAACUUUUAUUUUUUUCCUUCUGUGAUUUUAUCCGAUCAAACAUUGCUGAUGGCAUGAAGUCACGGAAAACGCUAACGGGUUUUUUCACAUUGGCCUUUGUGGUUUGCAAACGCUACAUGUUCAAUUACCUCGGCUGAGCCCUGGGGAGUCUACGACGCAGGUAUGCAAAUUGCUUGAGAUAAACAUUUGAAGCAUGUUCUUGUUGAAGUGGACAAGAGUAAUGUGGUUAGUAUGUUGAAUGAUGAGUUCCUCGUAUCUAAUUCUGCUGCUGGUCUGGUUAGAAGCAGCUCUUGGUUUUCACAAACUUCAGCU
RNAcentral lists this unclassified non-coding RNA (321 nucleotides) under Hevea brasiliensis (rubber tree). The record is from RNAcentral. Lineage: Eukaryota; Viridiplantae; Streptophyta; Magnoliopsida; Malpighiales; Euphorbiaceae.